Molecule: ribosomal RNA, 604 nt
Filed under: uncultured bacterium
Lineage: Bacteria
Description: bacterial SSU rRNA
Rfam family: Bacterial small subunit ribosomal RNA
Source: RNAcentral
AACNCCGGUGGCGAAAGCGGCUCUCUGGUCUGUAACUGACGCUGAGGCUNGAAAGCGUGGGGAGCGAACAGGAUUAGAUACCCUGGUAGUCCACGCCGUAAACGAUGAGUGCUAGGUGUUGGAUCCUUUCCGGGAUUCAGUGCCGCAGCUAACGCAUUAAGCACUCCGCCUGGGGAGUACGACCGCAAGGUUGAAACUCAAAGGAAUUGACGGGGGCCUGCACAAGCGGUGGAGCAUGUGGUUUAAUUCGAAGCAACGCGAAGAACCUUACCAGGUCUUGACAUCCCGAUGCUAUUUCUAGAGAUAGGAAGUUACUUCGGUACAUCGGUGACAGGUGGUGCAUGGUUGUCGUCAGCUCGUGUCGUGAGAUGUUGGGUUAANNNNNNCANCGAGCGCAACCCCUAUUGUUAGUUGCCAUCAUUCAGUUGGGUACUCUAGCGAGACUGCCGGUAAUAAACCGGAGGAAGGUGGGGAUGACGUCAAAUCAUCAUGCCCCUUAUGACCUGGGCUACACACGUGCUACAAUGGUUGGUACAACGAGUUGCGAGUCGGUGACGGCGAGCUAGUCUCUUAAAGCCAAUCUCAGUUCGGAUUGUAGGCUGCA